Molecule: ribosomal RNA, 879 nt
Filed under: uncultured Bacteroidota bacterium
Lineage: Bacteria; Pseudomonadati; Bacteroidota
Description: bacterial SSU rRNA
Rfam family: Bacterial small subunit ribosomal RNA
Source: RNAcentral
CAGCCGCGGUAAUACGGAGGAUGCAAGCGUUAUCCGGAUCCAUUGGGUUAAAGGGUGCGCAGGCUGUAAGGCAAGUCAGUGGUGAAAGCCCUGGGCUUAACUCAGGGAUUGCCAUUGAAACUGUUUUACUAGAGUGUAGUAGAGGACGGCGGAAUGAGUUGUGUAGCGGUGAAAUGCAUAGAUAUAACUCAGAACACCUAUUGCGUAGGCAGCUGUCUAUACUACAACUGACGCUGAGGCACGAAAGCGUGGGGAGCGAACAGGAUUAGAUACCCUGGUAGUCCACGCUGUAAACGAUGAUCACUCGUUGUUGGCUACUUAGUAGUCAGUGACCAAGGGAAACCGAUAAGUGAUCCACCUGGGGAGUACGUCGGCAACGAUGAAACUCAAAGGAAUUGACGGGGGCCCGCACAAGCGGAGGAACAUGUGGUUUAAUUCGAUGAUACGCGAGGAACCUUACCUGGGCUUAAAUGCUGGCUGCAUUGGAGGGAAACCUUCAUUUCCUACGGGACCGCCAGCAAGGUGCUGCAUGGUUGUCGUCAGCUCGUGCCGUGAGGUGUCGGGUUAAGUCCCAUAACGAGCGCAACCCCUAUCGCUAGUUGCCAGCAUGUAAUGGUGGGGACUCUAGCGAGACUGCCGGUGUAAACCGGAGGAAGGUGGGGAUGACGUCAAAUCAGCACGGCCCUUACGUCCAGGGCUACACACGUGUUACAAUGGCCGGUACAAAGAGCAGCCACCUGGCGACAGGGCGCUAAUCUCUAAAACCGGUCUCAGUUCGGAUCGAAGUCUGCAAUUCGACUUCGUGAAGGUGGAUUCGCUAGUAAUCGCGCAUCAGCCAUGGCGCGGUGAAUAAGUUUCCCGGGGCCUUGCACUCACCGC